GACUGUGUAGUAUAGUGGUCCAGUACCCAGGACUUUGAAUCCUGUAACCCGAGUUCGACCCUCGGCACGGUCU
Molecule: transfer RNA, 73 nt
Organism: Lobosporangium transversale
Lineage: Eukaryota; Fungi; Mortierellomycota; Mortierellomycetes; Mortierellales; Mortierellaceae
Rfam family: tRNA
About the family: Transfer RNA (tRNA) molecules are approximately 80 nucleotides in length. Their secondary structure includes four short double-helical elements and three loops (D, anti-codon, and T loops).
Source: Rfam